Molecule: long non-coding RNA, 261 nt
Filed under: Fukomys damarensis (Damara mole-rat)
Lineage: Eukaryota; Metazoa; Chordata; Mammalia; Rodentia; Bathyergidae
Description: lncRNA (ENSFDAG00000029299.1)
Source: RNAcentral
CAUUCAUUCCCUGUCAUUUUUCUCUUUCAGGUUUUCCCCUCUCCUUCCAUGCUCUCCAUUGCUUCUGUUGUUUUACCUGCUAUGGAAAGGCACCCACUGUCUUGUGGUAGUGUAGUAGAAGUCCCAGAAAUGAUUGGAGAAGUUGAAUUGGGUGAAACAAAACACAAGGCUAAAGUUGAAGAUAUAAUUGAUCACAUGCUUCUAAAAGAUAAAAUACUAGCCUCUUCCUGCGUCCUUCCAGAAGGUUGGAGUCAGAAAUGA